Molecule: non-coding RNA, 45 nt
Filed under: Schistosoma mansoni
Lineage: Eukaryota; Metazoa; Platyhelminthes; Trematoda; Strigeidida; Schistosomatidae
Source: RNAcentral
AUCCAGCUGAUGAGUCGUACGUAGGACGAAAUGCGCAUCUUGGAU